CCUGAAGCUCUCCCCCACCCUUAUUAUUUGUGACACAAGUGUAGAACCACAGCCAUACCCUGCCUGUGUGCUGUGCAGCACCGAACAAAAAAAAUUCAGGGUGAAAGAACUAAUCCCACUAUUGCUCCCAUGGCACUGAAAAACCAGUAACAGCAUCUCUGCUGUGACUAAGUUACUUUCAGCUGGAUUCGUACAAGUAGAAGGAUUUUUUUUCCCCCUAACAUCUCUAAGUAAGAUCUGCUGAGCACCAUGUAAUAACAAUGAAGACAGACCAGACUUGACAGUCUUGAGUGUGGAAAAAUAGAAGGAGAAAUUACCAGCCUAUUUAAAGAGACACCGCAUUCAUCUGGAGGUUACGGAUCUUCCAUUUUCGCCUGCCAAUUACCAUCUACAAAGACACGGGGUGCGUGCAGCUACCUUUGCAUCCAUGCAACAGCACGGCUUGGCUCAGCUGGGGUGCGACCAGGCAGCCUGUGGUUGGUGAGUGAUGCACAACAGCACAGUAAGUAAUUGUGUUUUAUGCUGCUGCACCUCACUCAGAGCUAUAACCAGUAAUUAGU
RNAcentral lists this long non-coding RNA (560 nucleotides) under Phasianus colchicus (ring-necked pheasant). RNAcentral describes it as "lncRNA (ENSPCLG00000006439.1)". Lineage: Eukaryota; Metazoa; Chordata; Aves; Galliformes; Phasianidae. The record is from RNAcentral.